UACGGGGGGAGCAAGCGUUGUUCGGAUUUACUGGGCGUAAAGGGCGCGUAGGCGGCCACCGCAAGUCAAUUGUGAAAUCUCCGGGCUUAACCCGGAAAGGUCAGCCGAUACUGCGGGGCUAGAGUGCAGAAGGGGCAACUGGAAUUCUCGGUGUAGCGGUGAAAUGCGCAGAUAUCAGGAGGAACACCGAUGGCGAAGGCAGGUCUCUGGGCCACUACUGACGCUGAGAAGCGAAAGCAUGGGGAGCGAACAGG
Molecule: ribosomal RNA, 254 nt
Filed under: uncultured bacterium
Lineage: Bacteria
Description: partial 16S ribosomal RNA
Rfam family: Bacterial small subunit ribosomal RNA
Source: RNAcentral